AAGGUGGGUAGUAGAGUUUUUAUAACGUGGUGUGAUUUCUUGGGUACUUAUAUUGCUACACUCCAUCUUAUGCUUAGAUGUUUAUAUGUUAUUAUGCGUUGGGUAAAAAUGCUAAAGUGACAAAAUCUACCUCUACAUAAUCUGGAUUCUUUAGUUUGAUCAAUAUAUGUAUUUCCUUCCCCCAUCAUUUUUGACAUGAAGCAUUUGAUGAAGCUUUGCAAUAGUCAAGAUCCGACUAUGGUUAAUGCAGCUCUGUAUUUUCCCAAAUUCAUGUUUGACUUUACUUUCAUUGAUUCUGGUAUUAAAUAACACCAAAAUUGUUUCCCACACCAUGCGUUUAAGAUCAUCCAAUGUUUUUCUUGUGUAAUCUUCAUAAAUGUAAUCUUCAUAAAUGGUUACUUGCCAUUGGUGCUGGAUGAAGCAGGUUAGAAGAUGUCUUUUAACUCUGAAAUUUAUCUUAGUUUGACUUUGACAUGAUGAAAUUGUUUAUAUCCCAUGAAAAGGUGAAUAUUAACCUUUAAAUUAUUAUAUUCCUAAAAUAUCCUUUGGCGUUGCUUCAUUUAGAAGCAGUUACUACACACUACUACUUCAAUGUUCAUUAACAUGAGUAAGCCUAAGAAUCUAGGAUGUUUCAAAUCUCAUGUGGUCAAUGUGAUGCAACUUUAGGGUCUGCUUCAAAAUGCUCACAACAGGUAUCAACCAUGAUGCCGUUUUUUUUUUUCUAAAAAGUAAAGGUGAUAUCAAAAGGUAAGAAGAUAAAAAUACGAUCAUGCACAAUUGAGAGAAAAAAGGAGAAACAACAAAGCAUAUCAAAUUGAGAUUUGAGCUUUGUAACUCAAUAGUGUAAUCAAGAACUCUGUGUUUAUUAUUAAGAUUCAAUCAGUAGUGUACAAAACAACAAACAUAUUAAAAAAAAGGAUUGACCUUUGUAACUCAAUAAUGUAUUGUAAUCAAUCAAAAUUCAUUUAUUCUGGAGUUGCAGGAUGCAUGAGUUCAUGAAAACUAAAACCUGAAUAUCCUCAUCUGAUUUGAUAUCUGUGCUUUGAAAUCAUACAUUAAAUCCCUCAGAACGAAGGCACAAACGAUGAGCUUCAAUCCAUUUUGAGCAAGCUGAUUCACCAUGCUCCACAACACAUUCGUCCCUGAGCUUCUUAGUGUCAGGGCAAGCACAGCAGAUUUUCUUCUUUGGCUUUGACUCAGGUCCUGUCGUAGCAUCUUUUGGUGCUUUUGUUAA
Lactuca sativa (garden lettuce) is the source of this 1234-nucleotide long non-coding RNA. RefSeq lists it as uncharacterized. The record is from RefSeq and is a predicted model, not a curated record. Lineage: Eukaryota; Viridiplantae; Streptophyta; Magnoliopsida; Asterales; Asteraceae.